This 475-nucleotide ribosomal RNA is filed under the name uncultured organism. RNAcentral describes it as "partial 16S ribosomal RNA". It matches the Rfam family "Bacterial small subunit ribosomal RNA", at positions 331 to 797 of the family's 1533-position model. The record is from RNAcentral.
GUACACUCCUGCGGGAGGCAGCAGUGGGGAAUUUUGGACAAUGGGCGAAAGCCUGAUCCAGCCAUGCCGCGUGCAGGAUGAAGGCCUUCGGGUUGUAAACUGCUUUUGUACGGAACGAAACGGCCUUUUCUAAUAAAGAGGGCUAAUGACGGUACCGUAAGAAUAAGCACCGGCUAACUACGUGCCAGCAGCCGCGGUAAUACGUAGGGUGCAAGCGUUAAUCGGAAUUACUGGGCGUAAAGCGUGCGCAGGCGGUUAUGUAAGACAGUUGUGAAAUCCCCGGGCUCAACCUGGGAACUGCAUCUGUGACUGCAUAGCUAGAGUACGGUAGAGGGGGAUGGAAUUCCGCGUGUAGCAGUGAAAUGCGUAGAUAUGCGGAGGAACACCGAUGGCGAAGGCAAUCCCCUGGACCUGUACUGACGCUCAUGCACGAAAGCGUGGGGAGCAAACAGGAUUAGAUACCCGAGUAGUCCCA